RNAcentral lists this ribosomal RNA (532 nucleotides) under Astrangia sp. JVK-2006. RNAcentral's name for it is "small subunit ribosomal RNA". It matches the Rfam family "Bacterial small subunit ribosomal RNA", at positions 337 to 1229 of the family's 1533-position model. The record is from RNAcentral. Lineage: Eukaryota; Metazoa; Cnidaria; Anthozoa; Scleractinia; Rhizangiidae.
GAAAACAUUGGCAGCAGUAAAGAAUUUUAUGCAAUAUACGAAAGUAAGACAUAGGUAGGACAUUUUAACCUGUCAAAUUAAGUGCCAGCAGACGCGGUGAAACUUAAGGGUUUGUUUUUUAGAAAAAGCAGAAAGCGUGUAAAGGUAAAACAUUUAAAAUAAAUAGAAUUUUUUUAGUAAUAGUGAAAUGUUAAAAUGAGAAAAAGAAUUCUUUAUGUGAAAACAAUUUAUUUUUUUCUUGAACACGAAGGUUCUGGGAGCAAACAGGAUUAGAGACCCUGGUAGUCGAUACAGUAAAAGAAAGUCGCUUGAGUAGUACGGUCGCAAGAUUAAAAUUCAAAAAACUUGGCUGUUCAUUGUUAUUUAGAGGAGCGUGUCGCUUAAUUCGACAAUCCGCGAAUUACCUUACCAAGACUUGGUUGUCAGGUGUUGCAUGGCCGUCGUCAAUUUAUGUUUGAUACAAUAAAUUAAACCCUAGAAAGGUUGAAGUCAGGUAUUAUUGCCCUUAUGUCUUGGGGUUAGAUGCGCUACA